RNAcentral lists this ribosomal RNA (253 nucleotides) under uncultured bacterium. RNAcentral describes it as "partial 16S ribosomal RNA". It matches the Rfam family "Bacterial small subunit ribosomal RNA", at positions 524 to 776 of the family's 1533-position model. The record is from RNAcentral.
UACGGAGGGUGCAAGCGUUGUCCGGAUUUAUUGGGUUUAAAGGGUGCGUAGGCGGCCCGUUAAGUCAGUGGUGAAAGCCUCCAGCUCAACUGGAGAACUGCCAUUGAUACUGGCGGGCUUGAGUACAGACGAGGUUGGCGGAAUUGAUUGUGUAGCGGUGAAAUGCAUAGAUACAAUCAAGAACACCGAUUGCGUAGGCAGCUAACUAGGCUGUAACUGACGCUGAGGCGCGAAAGCUAGGGGAGCAAACGGG